This 1563-nucleotide long non-coding RNA is filed under the name Mus musculus (house mouse). RNAcentral's name for it is "long non-coding RNA chr6:45157256-45158819". The record is from RNAcentral. Lineage: Eukaryota; Metazoa; Chordata; Mammalia; Rodentia; Muridae.
UAUAGCAUUGGAAAUGUAAAUGAGCUAAAUACCUAAUAAAAAAUGGAAAAAAAAAAAACAACAGGACCCCAUGUGGCUGUAACAACAAUGCCAAUAGAGGUUCAGCCAGCCUGAUUCCAGUGCUGAGAGAUGGUAAAACGUGUGAAUGGUGUGGUUCAAUUGAGCCUGUAAACUAUAGCUGGAUAUAAUCCUGCUACUGGAUGUCUAUCCAGAGGAAAUAAAGUCAGUAUGUCAAAGAGAUACCCACACAAAAAAAAAUCAAUAAAGAAAGAAAAAAACAGCUAUGGGCAGAGGACUGAGGAUAGUAAUACACAUCAGAAGGCUAUCACUGAUGAUCUUGUUGCUGGAUUCUCAGGAGUAACAGAGGAGGGAAAGAGAGUCUACAUUUUUGUUUAUCUGAAGGUCAUGACACAGUUGUUUGUGAAAUAAAAUAAUAUAACAGAAACUUAACAUUAAUUACAUGUGACAACUUCUCUGCAUGAACAGGAGGUUGGAUAUUUGUUCUCUGAUCAGUUUAUCCUAAUACACAGUUUGGAAUUGGCUAAGCUUUGUGACAGUUAAAAAAAAGAGGACUCACUCUGUCUGAUAUUAUCACUUCUCUGUAGCCUGUAAAUCUUGUUCCCUGUCUUCACAAAAGGGAACUUUCCAUAGGUCUAUGUUCCCACUUGGUGCUUGUAUGGAUAGAAGAUGAAGAAUUCUACAGAAUUCAUUUUUGAGAAGUUCAGACCUCAAGAUGCUAUAUAAAUGAUGAAUGGAAGUCUAUUUUCACUAAUUUUACUUUUGCAAAUCAGACUUUUUAUGAGCUACAAUAGUAACAACAAUCCUAUUAAAAGUCUAAAUGUAUUCAAUAUGCAGACUCUAGCAUCAUUUCUUUAUGGAAAGUAGACCUGCGUCAAUUCAUCUUUUAGAUAAAUGUGAUUCACAAUUCCUCUCCUUUUGUACUGUUCUUAUUGCUUCAUCAUUUCACAGCCUUAUUCUUCUGCCUCUAUUCCAUGAAUAAUGAAUACAACGUUUUAAUGAUUCUUGUAAAUAGAGACCGUAUUUUUUUCUCAUGAAGCACGAGGAAAAUAUUCAUAAUAUUUUAUUUCUGCCAUUGUGCUUGAGAUUAAUAGCACAAUUUCUCAUCCACAAAGUUUAUUAUAGGUCAUAAAAUGAACAGGAUCUCUUUCCUGAUUGGCUGAGGAGGAGAGUUUAAUCUUAUGUAAUUAUCUUUCAAAUCACACAUGCAUCCAUCCAAUAAAGCUCUCUAUUAGAUCACUGAACCAUUUCACAUGAUCUUAAAAAGAUUAAUAUUCAUUUAAACUUUAUAUACCCCUAAAUAUAUCUCUACAUGAUAAAUUUCUUUUUUAUUAAAUACUCUUUUCUUCUUAUUAUUUUUUAAAUUUUACCUGUGUUGGUGCCUCUCCUUGCUUGCAGGUCUAUGGUUAGGUGUAAGAUCACUAGGAACUGAAGUUACAGACUGUUGUGAGCUGCUAUCUUGGAGUUGGGAAUUGAACCCGUUUCCCCUGGAUGUGUAGCCAGUACUCUUAAACACUGAACCAUCUCUCUGGCCUGGUAAAUUUC